AUAGCUUGCCUAUAAAAGCAUUGCUACUUGAAGCCCGAGUCAGAUUUUGGAGGAGGAAUUUAGGGAUUUUAGAGGAGAUAUUUUAGAGAUUUUAGAAAGAAAAAAAUAGAGAAUAACUCUGAAGCAUCAAAAAUAGCUAGGAAAUUUCAGAAAAAUUACUGUUCCAUUGGUCUUCUUUUGUGAUUUCUGAAGCUUUUAAUCUCUGAAAAAUUUCUGAUUCACUUGGGGUAAAAAUGGACUGAAUUUGGGUUUCAAAGGGUUGGUUUAAGUUGCUGGGUCUCAUCAUUAUUCUUUCGUCAAAUUUCAAGUCGAUUCUACUGUGGUUUCCUUUCAUUUGAGCCUGCUACUUCUGCUAUUUUCUGCUCACUCCUAGCUCAUUUUCUUAUUGAUUUGCUGUUAUAACGAGGUAUAUCCUGAACCUCGUUUGGCAUGGUGAAAUGAAAUAUUUGGUUGUGUUUGCCUUGAAUUGGAGGCUGCGGGCUUGCACAUUUAAUCAAUUUCAUUUUUCUGUAGUUCGAGUAUAUCCAAAUGUGUAUUUAAGUUAGUUCUCCUUCAUGCAUAAUCAUGCUCCUUUUGUGUUAUUGGAUGCAAUGUUGUUAGAUUGAACUUGAUGUAUAAACCUGGACAUUUGCUCAAAUGUGGUAGCUUGGGGUGUGAGUUUAUUGAAAUAAGUUCUGAGUGUAUAUUGACUUGUUGUAAUUGUGGUAUUAGAAGAUUCUGACUCACCUAUGUGAAAAAUUACUUUAGUCUAGUUGAAAUUAGUAUUUUCUUUUGGGAUUGAUUUUUGUUUGAAGUCCUAAAGUGAUCCAUAUAGAUUUGAAACCAAAAUGUUCAGCCAAAGUUCAUGUUAGUAGAUGCUUUUUUUAUUUGAGAAUUGUGUUGUUCGGGCUAUGAAGCAAUCUGGGUUGAAGUUUAUGGUACAUGAAAGCCUUAGUGUAUGCUAAUUAUAGAAUAAAAUUUAUGUUGAUAAAUGUUC
RNAcentral lists this long non-coding RNA (976 nucleotides) under Nicotiana benthamiana. Its description in RNAcentral is "long non-coding RNA (NBEN_LNC024858)". The record is from RNAcentral. Lineage: Eukaryota; Viridiplantae; Streptophyta; Magnoliopsida; Solanales; Solanaceae.